GACGAACGCUGGCGGCGUGCUUAACACAUGCAAGUCGAACGGAAAGGCCCUGCUUUUGUGGGGUGCUCGAGUGGCGAACGGGUGAGUAACACGUGAGUAACCUGCCCUUGACUUUGGGAUAACUUCAGGAAACUGGGGCUAAUACCGGAUAGGAGCUCCUGCUGCAUGGUGGGGGUUGGAAAGUUUCGGCGGUUGGGGAUGGACUCGCGGCUUAUCAGCUUGUUGGUGGGGUAGUGGCUUACCAAGGCUUUGACGGGUAGCCGGCCUGAGAGGGUGACCGGCCACAUGGGGACUGAGAUACGGCCCAGACUCCUACGGGAGGCAAGAGUGGGGAAUAUUGCACAAUGGGCGGAAGCCUGAUGCAGCAACGCCGCGUGCGGGAUGACGGCCUUCGGGUUGUAAACCGCUUUCGCCUGUGACGAAGCGUGAGGGACGGUAAUGGGUAAAGAAGCACCGGCGAACUACGU
This 467-nucleotide ribosomal RNA is filed under the name uncultured bacterium. RNAcentral describes it as "partial 16S ribosomal RNA". It matches the Rfam family "Bacterial small subunit ribosomal RNA", at positions 28 to 506 of the family's 1533-position model. The record is from RNAcentral.